CAGCAGGUGGGGAAUAUUGCACAAUGGGCGCAAGCCUGAUGCAGCCAUGCCGCGUGUGUGAAGAAGGCCUUCGGGUUGUAAAGCACUUUCAGUCGUGAGGAAGGCGGGUACGUUAAUAGCGUAUUCGUUUGACGUUAGCGACAGAAGAAGCACCGGCUAACUCCGUGCCAGCAGCCGCGGUAAUACGGAGGGUGCGAGCGUUAAUCGGAAUUACUGGGCGUAAAGCGCAUGCAGGUGGUUUGUUAAGUCAGAUGUGAAAGCCCCGGGGCUCAACCUCGGAAUAGCAUUUGAAACUGGCAGACUAGAGUACUGUAGAGGGGGUAGAAUUUCAGGUGUAGCGGUGAAAUGCGUAGAGAUCUGAAGGAAUACCGGUGGCGAAGGCGGCCCCCUGGACAGAUACUGACACUCAGAUGCGAAAGCGUGGGGAGCAAACAGGAUUAGAUACCCUGGUAG
This 453-nucleotide ribosomal RNA is filed under the name uncultured bacterium. RNAcentral describes it as "bacterial SSU rRNA". It matches the Rfam family "Bacterial small subunit ribosomal RNA", at positions 349 to 793 of the family's 1533-position model. The record is from RNAcentral.